Molecule: ribosomal RNA, 477 nt
Filed under: uncultured Oceanospirillaceae bacterium
Lineage: Bacteria; Pseudomonadati; Pseudomonadota; Gammaproteobacteria; Oceanospirillales; Oceanospirillaceae
Description: bacterial SSU rRNA
Rfam family: Bacterial small subunit ribosomal RNA
Source: RNAcentral
GGCGGACGGGUGAGUAACGCGUAGGAAUCUACCUAAUGGUGGGGGAUAGCCCAGGGAAACUUGGAUUAAUACCGCAUAAGUCCUAAGGGAGAAAGCGGGGGAUCUUCGGACCUCGUGCCAUUAGAUGAGCCUGCGUAAGAUUAGCUAGUUGGUGAGGUAAGAGCUCACCAAGGCGACGAUCUUUAGCUGGUCUGAGAGGAUGAUCAGCCACACUGGGACUGAGACACGGCCCAGACUCCUACGGGAGGCAGCAGUGGGGAAUAUUGGACAAUGGGGGCAACCCUGAUCCAGCCAUGCCGCGUGUGUGAAGAAGGCCUUCGGGUUGUAAAGCACUUUCAGAUGUGAGGAAAGGUUACAGAUUAAUACUCUGUAGCUGUGACGUUAACAUCAGAAGAAGGACCGGCUAACUCCGUGCCAGCAGCCGCGGUAAUACGGAGGGUCCGAGCGUUAAUCGGAAUUACUGGGCGUAAAGCGCGC